UCGCAACCGGGGGUCCGACCUUCGCAACCAGGGGUCGGACCAUCGCAACCGGAGGUCCGACCUUCCCAACCAGGGGUCGGACCUUCGCAACCAGGGGUCGGACCAUCGCAACCGGGGGUCCGACCUUACCAACCAGGGGUCGGACCUUCCCAACCGGGGGUCAGAUCUUCGCAACUCAGGGGUCGGACUUCGCAAAUAUACUGUAUUUUAAAUAUUUGGUCAUGGAAAUGUGAUUUGAAGUCCUGGUCACCCAUUGGUCAACCCUGUUUUCACUGGGACGCUAUGAAUAUGACUGUUUAUGUUUUAUUGACAUAAACAAGGUGCAUGCUGGGUGUUCUGGAGGCCGGGGGUCGUCUCCACGGCGAUGGGCUUCCACACUUUUCCUCUUCAUCACAUGCAACGCGAUGCAAAGAUGGCCGUGCUGCUCCAGAUUGCAUCACGCCGCUGGAGGGGCAACCGGUAUGAAACACCCCCCCCCCCCCGCCCUCUUUCUUUCUUUCCGUUUCCCUCCCUCCAUCCUCGGGAAUCCAGGUCUGCUGGGGCAUUUUUUAAGACAAGAGGCUUCCUGGACUAUUUUGGUAUCAAAGCCGGGGAGACAGCGAGAGGCUCGGCUCUCUGAAGCUGACAUGUGAGGAGAGGAGGGCCUUCCUCCUCCUCCUCCCCCUGCUCCUCCUCUUCCUCCUCCACUGGGUUGCAGGGGGCAAUGGGAGGGGAGGCACUCAGUAGCCCUGCCAGGAGCCGUCUCUCCUGGGGGUCGGAGCCUCCAACGCGUGCUCCGACGGGAUGGUUCACAACUUUAAGUCAGUUUAGAGUGAAGUUAUUGUGUAUUAUAGGAUAUUAUAAUUGUAUGUUUUACUACCGGUUCAUUUUUAUUCCUCACUUUGCUCCAUUUUAAUGCUGACGUCGAUGUUUUUCAUCUUUAAUGUGAGUAAGCAGCUCCAGCCGGCGGGCGCAGCGCGGUCCAGAUGACCUUCUGCUGGUUCGCAGCCCGGCCUGCAGAGGCUCCGCCCCCCCGUGACUCCGCCCCACCGUGACUCUGACCUGGCUAGUCUCUGCUGCGACGCACCGCUCCGCCCGACUCAUCCGCUGCCAAGCCCCUUCAAGUUAUUCAUCUGGAAGAAAUAUGCAUUCAUCAUUGUAUUUUUAAUCACACCAAAUAGAACGACAAAGGGAGCGCCGCGGGAGACGGGAAGCAAUCUGCAAUUCCCAGAACUCGACGGUAUUCCUGCCGAACAUUCCCCAAACGACUGAAUGAAUUUAUUUAUAAUUUCUCCUUCCAACAGCUCUGGAAAACCGCCCAGACGUCCUGAGUGGAGCAACAUGGCGUGACGGAGGAGGAGAAGACCGUGAGAAAAAAGAGAAGAAGAAGAAGAAGAAGAAAGGCCCCAAAGUGUUGGCCAUUAAAUCCAUUUACACAGGAAGUCAAUGAGGAGAAACCCCUGAGUGGAGGCACCUCCCAGGACAGCUCAGGGGUCCUGAGAGGAGGGAAGGAGUGAGACGGUUUGAGGAGCCGGUGACAGUCGGAUGAGGUGGUUGCCGUGACGUUGAAGGUCAUGUGACCUUUUGUCCUUCAUACCAAAAGCGUCCAGGACGCCACGUCUGCUCAUCACUCCUCCUCCUCCUCCUCCUCCUCCUCCACCCUCAGCAUCUCCAGCAUUGUGUCCGUUACCGAGGAAACAAAGUUGUGUCCGUCUGCAGCUGAGGGCCAACAACUAAAAGACAUCACGGGGCAUCCCAUCAGAUGUUGAUGGUCCUCAUUGAGGUUUCUGGGCGGAGCAGCAUCUUCCUGGAGGAGUGAAGCACCGUCCUGCCGACUAACUGCACGUUGUGUGGAGGAAAGUCAACACAGUCGUUCUCCCACGGGUCGACUCACAACACGACGACGCUUCAAUACGUUCUAUACCCAAAAAAAUAAAAGAAGAAAUGUGGGAGGGGACAUUUGAAAUUAAUUAUAACGGCGCCGAGAUAUUUGUCUUCUCUUCUUUGUGAAUAUUCUCCUCUAUUCUCUCAGAAAAACAGAAAUAGCAUCACGAGCUAGCAUCUCUCGCUCUCUCUCUCUCUCUUUUUGCUUGAAAUAUAAAGCUUUUUUUUUGCCGCUCCGGUUCUCAUCCCACGUGUCCUCCUCGGCGGCGUCGGUCCCCCGGUGACACCGGAGUGAGGACGGCAGCUUUAAUUUGCGGGGGGAGAAUAUUGAUUUAAAAAAAUAAAUACAAAAAGUGAUCUCCUC
Long non-coding RNA from Pseudoliparis swirei, 2227 nucleotides. RefSeq lists it as uncharacterized. The record is from RefSeq and is a predicted model, not a curated record. NCBI's taxonomy places the organism in Eukaryota, Metazoa, Chordata, Actinopteri, Perciformes, Liparidae. The transcript is spliced from 3 exons.